CCAGAACUGAGACAGUAAAUGUCUGCUGCUUUAAGCUGCCACCGGUGCAACUGCCCCCAGGGACCACGAUGCAGCAGGACAAACUUCAGCAGAACACCGAUGUCUGGUAUCACCUGUCAACUAUGGAAGCCUUUCACAGGAGAUGGGCGUUUCAAGAAUGGGAGCCACAGGAAAACAGAAUCUUUCAGACAAAAGCCAAACAUGACACUCACUAGCAAAAGAAACUGCAUUUUUAAAAUCUUCUGUAAGAGAAGACAAUCUUGAAAGCAAUGUCUGGUUGAGGAUAAUUUGGUC
Molecule: long non-coding RNA, 294 nt
Filed under: Dasypus novemcinctus (nine-banded armadillo)
Lineage: Eukaryota; Metazoa; Chordata; Mammalia; Cingulata; Dasypodidae
Description: lncRNA (ENSDNOG00000052438.1)
Source: RNAcentral